This is an RNA transcript of Hipposideros armiger (great roundleaf bat), 2830 nucleotides long. It is a transcript of the gene named arginine and serine rich protein 1, with no coding region annotated. The transcript has 6 exons. The record is from RefSeq and is a predicted model, not a curated record. NCBI's taxonomy places the organism in Eukaryota, Metazoa, Chordata, Mammalia, Chiroptera, Hipposideridae.
AGCUCUGGGUGCCAGCUGCAGGGGCUUCCCGCUGUGCUGAGGUCGCUUCUAGACUUCGGAAGUGGUAGUUUGAGUACACCUUUUAAGGUGGGGUGUGAGAAGUCGCUAUGUCCUAAACUUGCGACAGGAAGGCGUCUGUUGGGCCUUUGUAUCCGUCUUGAGGUGGUAAAUUUUCUAGUGCUGGGGUCGGUCUCGCAGUUAUCGCAGGUGUGGAUGGCAGGGAAAGUGCCCAGGCCCGCGUUGUGCAAAAGCUGAACCUGCUGUGGUUUCGCGACCUGCUCCGCCAGUUAAGACCGAGUGUCACCUGGACUUUCUCUGGUGGUGCCUUCUGGAACCAGAUCCGCCCCGUCUCCCGGACGAUCAUGGGCCCGAGAAGCUGUAACCGGACUGAGAGCUUCUGGAAGAGGGGACGAAGUGGCUACAAGUCAUUCACGUGGGAAUCCUGUGACACCCGGGAGAGGGGCGGAUCCGGAAGCAGUCGCCCCCAGGUCCCCUGGCAGCUAGCCUGACACAGGUUAGGAGGAAGUGGCCGGGAAACGCCCAGGGAGGCAGUCUGCAGCCCAAUCUGCAGCUUCCCAGAAGGUGGAAGCAACGACCCAGUCAUCAUUAGCCCGGCAGAAUUCUGGAUCCCGGUGUCACUCUGCGCAGGGUCUCCUCACUCUUCAGAUCCAAGAAAACAAAACCACCACAGGCCGCCAGAUAACCGGAUGGAGCAGCACCAUCCGCCGGCCCCACCCCCGCCCCCCAUCAGCUCGAUCGCGCAUGCGCAUCGUGGCGGCCUUAGCGCGAGGCCGGGGGCGGGGCGGAGGAGAGAGAAGGAAGGGCAGCGGUUGGGCGAGAAGGAGGCCACGCCCAUUGCACCAACGUUUCUGCGCAUACUCCGUACGUCAGCUUCUGGUAGUUUCGAUGCGUCAGCCGACGCCCUGCUCAUUUCGCGUCCGGACGUCGGAGGUGUCGCUUGUGGUUUUGCUGCUGGAGAGCAGCUGCGAAAAGCCUCUCUUCGUCCUUUGCUGUGAAAGGAAGGCGUCCGUUGGGCCUUUCUCUCCGUCCUAAGUGAGGAGUCGGCGACCUGUGGAACAGUGUGUUCCGGAAGCAUCCUCAGAAACAAGGAAGCUUCACACCUCGGGCCUAGAUGUCUAACUACGUGAACGACAUGUGGCCGGGUUCACCGCAGGAGGCCCGGUCGACGUCUGGCCGGUCCAGUCGGCUGUCCUCGGUGACCCGGAGCCACUCGAGAAGCUCGCGGUCCAGCUCCAGCGUCUCCAGCCAGUGGUCGUCCAGGAGUCGGAGCCGGCCCCGGCGCAGGUCCAGGUCUCGUUCCCGAAGGCGCCACCAGAGGAAGUACCGGCGCUACUCGCGGUCGUACUCGCGGAGCCGGUCGCGAUCCCGCAGCCGCCGCGGGUACUGGGAGAGGCACUCCGCUUCCUCCAGGAGACACUACCGGUCUCCCUCGCCAGGCCGAUCCCGCAGCCGGUCCCGCUCUCGGGGACGGUCAUCGUACCGAAGCGCCUAUGCGAUAACGCGGGGGCGACGCUACUACGGCUUUGGUCGCACGGUGUACCCGGAGGAGCACGGGAGUUGGCGGGGGAGAUCCAGGACGAGGUCGCGGAGCCCAACGCCGUUUCGCUUAAGUGAAAAAGAUCGAAUGGAGCUGUUAGAAAUAGCAAAAGCCAAUGCAGCAAAAGCCUUAGGAACAACCAACUUGGAAUUGCCGCCUAGUCUCAGAAGUGUUUUCCUAUCUAAAGAAACAAACCGUGGAACAGCUGUAACAAAUAAUGGUGCAAAGUUUGAGGUAAGUAUUCAAGGAUUAUCCAGACAGAAUCUUAGGAAGCUACUGCCAGAAAGAUCUGAUUAGCCAUUUUUAUUUGAUUUACCUUAGACUACUACUUAGAAAGGCUAGCCAAAUGUGAUUUUUUAAAACCAAUAUAUCAGAUCUGAUGGUACUAGAUAUGGUCUCUCCCAUAAAAAUGGGAGAUUAAUGAAAUUGAUUUUCGGUUGACGCAGUAUUAAUUACUUUCAUGAUUAUAGCUGGUAUUUGGCCAUUUUUGUGUAGUUAUCAAAAUUUCCUAACUAUACAGAGUAUCUACCUGUAACAUUCGCAGCAUUUUAUUCCCUCAAAUUCUGUACUCAACAUACAGUAUAGUUUAUCUGCUUUAUUUCUGUCUUAUAGAAAUCAUGAAUGUGGUCUCCAGACAUUGAUCUCCAGAAAAUCUGUUGAUGUUUUGAGAGAUUACAGAAGAAGAGGCCUGCUUCACUUGCAGAUAAGUUUAUCGUAAUUCUCCAGAAAUGUGCCGGAUGUGCACUGGCAAAUUGCACUGUGCUUUUAAAGUUAUGUGAACCCAAAGCAUAAAAUCCAUAGCUUUAAAGGUUUAAGGUGGUUAGGAAUUGGUAGAAUCAGUUAAAACAGGGAAGAUGUCUAGAUGAACUUAUUAUUCAGACCCAGAUGUGGGUAUGCUUAUGUAUUAGUAGUAGACAAAUAAGAUCUUAGUUCAGGUUUUUUUCAGAUGAUUAGGUGCCCGAUUGGCAAAUGCCUUAGUUCUUUGAAACUAGGUAUUAUCUAGUAUGACUUUAUUGUCAGUUACUUUAACUGUAUUGGGGAAUAGAAGACUCCUUUAUGGGGAAGAGUGUCUUAAUCAGGCCUAUUAUGCCAAUUUUGUGCUCAACAGAGUACAAUGUUUAGACAGUUGACUAUAUGGUUAGCUCCAACUUGAUUUGUGUCUGUACAACCAAAUAUAUAAUUGGGCUGCUUUGUAUACAUACAGUACUGUAAACCAAAGGUAUGACUUUUAAAAAAACAAAUUUUCUCUUAACCUGUCUAGCUGUUGGAAAA